CCUGGUACCUAUAGGGCAGAGGCCACACCCGUUCCCAUUCCGAACACGGAAGUUAAGCUCUGUUCCGCCUACGAUACUUGGGCUUAAGCCCUGGGAAAAUCGGACGGUGCCUGGC
This is a ribosomal RNA of Desulfurispirillum indicum S5, 115 nucleotides long. The record is from Rfam. NCBI's taxonomy places the organism in Bacteria, Pseudomonadati, Chrysiogenota, Chrysiogenia, Chrysiogenales, Chrysiogenaceae.